RNAcentral lists this ribosomal RNA (420 nucleotides) under uncultured eukaryote. RNAcentral describes it as "bacterial SSU rRNA". It matches the Rfam family "Eukaryotic small subunit ribosomal RNA", at positions 592 to 1017 of the family's 1831-position model. The record is from RNAcentral.
CAAUAGCGUAUAUUAAAGUUGUUGCAGUUAAAAGCUCGUAGUCGGAUUUGGCAUCACGCCGAACUGUCUGCCGAUUGGUAAGUACGGUUUGGCGGGUGCUUCCUUCCGGAGGCUCGUUCCCUUCUUCAUUGAAGGGUUCGUUGGUUCCGGGUCUUUACUUUGAUGAAAAUUAGAGAUGUUCAAAGCAGGCCUAUGCUCUGAAUAGGUUAGCAUGGAAUAAUAGAAUAGGACUUUGGUUCUAUUUUGUUGGUUUCUAGGACCGAAGUAAUGAUUAAUAGGGACAGUUGGGGCAGUUCAUAUUCCAUUGUCAGAGGUGAAAUUCUUGGAUUAACGGAAGAUGAACUUCUGCGAAAGCAUCUGCCAAGGAUGUUUUCAUUGAUCAAGAACGAAAGUUGGGGCUGCGAAGAUGAUUAGAUACCA